AGCACCACAACAGGUGGAGCCUGCGGUUUAAUCGGACUCAACGCCGGGAAACUCACCAGAUAAGACAGCUGAAUGAUAGUCGGGCUGAAGACUCUACUUGACUAGCUGAGAGGAGGUGCAUGGCCGUCGUCAGUUCGUACUGUGAAGCAUCCUGUUAAGUCAGGCAACGAGCGAGACCCACGCCAACAGUUGCCAGCGUACUCUCCGGAGUGACGGGUACACUGUGGGGACCGCCGCUGCUAAAGCGGAGGAAGGAAUGGGCAACGGUAGGUCAGUAUGCCCCGAAUAUCCCGGGCUACACGCGAGCUACAAUGGUUGGUACAAUGGGUAUCUACCCCGAAAGGGGACGGGAAUCUCCUAAAACCAAUCUUAGUUCGGAUUGAGGGCUGCAACUCGCCCUCAUGAAGCUGGAAUCCGUAGUAAUCGCGUUUCAACAGAACGCGGUGAAUACGUCCCUGCUCCUU
This 464-nucleotide ribosomal RNA is filed under the name uncultured Methanolinea sp. Its description in RNAcentral is "bacterial SSU rRNA". It matches the Rfam family "Archaeal small subunit ribosomal RNA", at positions 875 to 1338 of the family's 1478-position model. The record is from RNAcentral. Lineage: Archaea; Methanobacteriati; Methanobacteriota; Methanomicrobia; Methanomicrobiales; Methanoregulaceae.